CAUGCUAGAAACCCCUCAUGCAGAAGAGAGAGAUACCGUGAGCACAAAGCAGUGAGGAGGCAGUUAGCCGUUGGAAGGGUCAGGAGACCAACCGACUUCACUUGCGGAGGAGAGAUGAGACUGAGCAGUAGCACUGGAGGAGACCGGGACACGCAGGGACCCUAGCCGCAAAUACGAUAAGGAGCAGACCGGAGAGUACAGAGGCAGUGCAAGGCACCAGAGUGCGGAGACAGCCACAUAUGCCGGAGUGUAAGUACUCACCCCUGAUUGCCCGACCAUCAGUGCAGAGCCCGGUGUGACGGCUGCCAUUAGUAAAGUGCGUCAAGUGAGAGGAGCCGACGGCAGAGAGGGAUAGGGCUCCGAGACAGUGGCCGAAGGAAGGACCUGGAGAGGCAGCAUAACACAAGAGGAGGAGUCGGGGGAGUGACUACGCAUUAGACGAGCAAGUUGAAAGGAGACUUGGAUACUAUAAGAGAAAACAGGUAUACCCUGGAAAGACAUGAUGCAUAUUAUUUCCAUGUGACUAGUACACUCCCUGCUGUACGGUGUAUUAUGUCCUGUCUGACACCCAGCACAUUAUAUGGGAAGAUGCGAUGAAUGUGUGUAAACCAGAUUGUGCUCACACACUACACAAUGGGGGUUCCAGUUACAAUCCCGACAAGAUACCGGCUGCAAAAUCCCGAAAGGUGACAGGACACUGACGCUGGAAUUCUAACUGUUGGGAUCUCGAUCAUCUACACAUUGAGUUUACACCGUACCACCUAGAAGGAAGAAAUUGAACAGAGCGGAGCAAGUGGCUAAAGCCAUGUCAAAUGUCCUUGUCGACCAACUCCGAGAGAUGGACGCUACAAUGUCCGCACAGGAGGAUGCUAGGCUCGACAGGUUUCUAGAGGCAGAACGCAAAAUGCAUGAUGCAUUCCUUUCCCAAGUCAUGACAAUGCAGGAACGCAUGAGUAGAGAGCAGUAUGACCGCCACAGGGAAUUGCACCAAAUGAACAUGGCGUUCUAUGAGCGUAUGACCAAUACCUCAAGAGCACAAAACCAACACCACAACUCACAAUACCCCCCUGAGCAGGGUUUUUCAUCAUUUAAUCCUGGUCCAUACUAUGCCCCAAAUACUGCACCAUCUAGUGCGCAAAGCCCAGAAUUUACUGUAUUGCGCAAUUUGCCGUGAAACGCAGUGAAUUUCUUUUGUGUGUUAUUUGUUGUUAAAUAACCAGUGUGGUCAUUGUUUAUGCAUAACUGUAUGUGCCUUCUUUAAUUUUUUUUCUAUGUUCUGUUUUGAUUAGUGUCUACAUUAAAGCACUUUUUAUUUAUUUUUUACACAGUAAUAAUAUACUGCAGGGACACUGUGGUUUAUGGUGUUGUAUCUACAAACCUACCAGUGUUUUUUUUUUUUUUAUGCCAAUCAAAACU
Long non-coding RNA from Pseudophryne corroboree (corroboree frog), 1416 nucleotides. RefSeq lists it as uncharacterized. NCBI's taxonomy places the organism in Eukaryota, Metazoa, Chordata, Amphibia, Anura, Myobatrachidae. The transcript has 4 exons. The record is from RefSeq and is a predicted model, not a curated record.